Molecule: ribosomal RNA, 253 nt
Filed under: uncultured bacterium
Lineage: Bacteria
Description: partial 16S ribosomal RNA
Rfam family: Bacterial small subunit ribosomal RNA
Source: RNAcentral
UACGUAGGGUGCAAGCGUUGUUCGGAAUUAUUGGGCGUAAAGCGCGCGUAGGCGGCUUUGCAAGUCGGGUGUGAAAUCCCUCAGCUUAACUGAGGAAGUGCGCUCGAAACUGCAGAGCUUGAGUGCCAAAGAGGAUGGCGGAAUUCCCCAAGUAGAGGUGAAAUUCGUAGAUAUGGGGAGGAACACCGGUGGCGAAGGCGGCCAUCUGGGUGGUGACUGACGCUGAGGCGCGAAAGCGUGGGUAUCAAACAGG